AGUGAACGCUGGCGGUAGGCCUAACACAUGCAAGUCGAACGGCAGCACAGUAAGAGCUUGCUCUUACGGGUGGCGAGUGGCGGACGGGUGAGGAAUACAUCGGAAUCUACUUUUUCGUGGGGGAUAACGUAGGGAAACUUACGCUAAUACCGCAUACGACCUACGGGUGAAAGCAGGGGAUCUUCGGACCUUGCGCGAUUGAAUGAGCCGAUGUCGGAUUAGCUAGUUGGCGGGGUAAAGGCCCACCAAGGCGACGAUCCGUAGCUGGUCUGAGAGGAUGAUCAGCCACACUGGAACUGAGACACGGUCUAGACUCCUACGGGAGGCAGCAGUGGGGAAUAUUGGACAAGGGGCGCAAGCCUGAUCCAGCCAUACCGCGUGGGUGAAGAAGGCCUUCGGGUUGUAAAGCCCUUUUGUUGGGAAAGAAAAGCAGCAGGUUAAUACCCCGCUGUUCUGACGGUACCCAAAGAAUAAGCACCGGCUAACUUCGU
RNAcentral lists this ribosomal RNA (491 nucleotides) under uncultured bacterium. Its description in RNAcentral is "partial 16S ribosomal RNA". It matches the Rfam family "Bacterial small subunit ribosomal RNA", at positions 29 to 506 of the family's 1533-position model. The record is from RNAcentral.